Pan paniscus (pygmy chimpanzee) is the source of this 1566-nucleotide long non-coding RNA. NCBI's taxonomy places the organism in Eukaryota, Metazoa, Chordata, Mammalia, Primates, Hominidae. The record is from Ensembl.
GACAGACUCAAUUCAGAGUGAAGAGUAAGCUUUCAGAUACUUUUCAUUGCAUUUAUAUUAUAAACUCCAUUUGGUGGGUGAAUAUCACUGUAAGCCUCAGCAUUCAUAUGCUAAUGUUAUAAGUUGGAGUUGUCAAGAGAAUUAUGCACAGGCUUGAGUACAUGUGUGUGUGAGUGAGUGAUAUUUGUGUUUGCCAAAGCAGCAUGUGCUCCUAAAGGGAGAGUGUGUCUUAUCUUACUAGCUGUCUGGUCUCAGUUUCUCUCUCUAAUGUGCCAGGAAGAAAAUGUCUUCAUCACUGAAUAUUUUGGUGAUGCACAGAUUCCAGGAUGCCUUCCAGUGUCUUUAUGGCAUAAGGGGUGGCUGCACAUCUCAGUCCUGCCAAUGGAAUUUAAGGAGUCUACUAACAUUGUUUCCAGAAAAGCUUUUCUCUUUCUGAUUAAAACACCCAGGUAUGUCUGGCUAUCACUUUCCACCUCUUUUCCUGUUUUAAAUGCAGAUGUAGUACCUGGAGCUGUGCAGCUGUUUUGUGACUGUAAGUUGAUGAACAGAGAUGUUGGGCCUGGCACCACGGAGCUGCUGAAGACACACACAAAAAAGGCCUAUCUUUUGACUUCUAUAUUUUUGUGUGGAACAAAACUAUUUCAUUAAAAUAUUAUAGUUGAAUGUAGUUGAAUGCUUUGUUACUUGCAGCUAAAUACAUUCCUAAUAAGUAGAGAUUAUAACUAUAAUCUUACUAUAACUGUCUAUAUUAGCUACUAAUUGAAUAUAUUAUAUUUGGGAAAUAAUAAUUGUGGUAAUCUAAAUUAUUAACCCAGUUUUCUCCAACAAUAAUCUAAAUUGGUUUAAUAUGGGUAACUGAAAACAUACAAUAUGGUAAAUAAUGAAAUAAAUAAAUGUCAAAUAGGUGAGUAUGACAGAGAAAUAUUGAAAAUGUACUUUAUUUUAUUUUAGAAAUAAAAUCUGCUCUGUGUAGUCACUUCUGUGGUUCUUUCUCCCCUUCUUAUCAUGGCAUCCCAUACCUAUAAAAAAAUUAGUUCACACUAAUUAUCUGCAAAUGGGACUCAUCGUCACAGUGAAAUCGAGUCUCUCCUUGAUCCUAAUCCAAAUUUAACUGUAACCUAAAUGAUACCUGACAGAAAUAUGCAGAGGUCACAGAGUCCCUGCCUGUGAGAGACAUUAAUCAAACAAAUGUCAUUUUUACAGUUCAGUAGCUUUAUAUAAGAAAAUUUAACUUAAACCUUACGAAAAAGGAAGAUUCAAUGAAAAUACAUACAAUGCAUUUAGAAUAAGAAGGCAAAACUCUAGAGAUCAAGGUUGCUAAAUUAUUAUUUAAAAAAUCUGGCUGUAAGACAUACAGGCCAUUUUGGUCUCCUGGUUCUUUGACGCUGACAUUUUUAAUCAGAACAGUUUUCUCCUCAGUUGUCUCUUUCACUCUUUAAGAUAAUCAUUACCAGCAGGUUAGUAGUUCUAAUUUUUCUAUGAAUUGGUUGAUACUUCUGAGAACACAAAAUCAUUUUGAGAAUUUUGAGAAUACAAGUCAUUUUGUAGCAUUCAAGUGAAAAUAUC